CUCGUAGGUGGCCAACUAAGUCAGACGUGAAAUCCCUCGGCUUAACCGGGGAACUGCGUCUGAUACUGGAUGGCUUGAGGUUGGGAGAGGGAUGCGGAAUUCCAGGUGUAGCGGCGAAAUGCGUAGAUAUCUGGAGGAACACCGGUGGCGAAGGCGGCAUCCUGGACCAAUUCUGACGCUGAGGAGCGAAAGCCAGGGGAGCAAACGGGAUUAGAUACCCCGGUAGUCCUGGCCCUAAACGAUGAAUGCUUGGUGUGGCGGGUAUCGAUCCCUGCCGUGCCGAAGCUAACGCAUUAAGCAUUCCGCCUGGGGAGUACGGUCGCAAGGCUGAA
This 332-nucleotide ribosomal RNA is filed under the name uncultured bacterium. Its description in RNAcentral is "bacterial SSU rRNA". It matches the Rfam family "Bacterial small subunit ribosomal RNA", at positions 568 to 898 of the family's 1533-position model. The record is from RNAcentral.